Molecule: long non-coding RNA, 1379 nt
Organism: Lolium rigidum
Lineage: Eukaryota; Viridiplantae; Streptophyta; Magnoliopsida; Poales; Poaceae
Exons: 5
Source: RefSeq, a predicted model, not a curated record
AAAUUAUCUUGUGUACUAAGGCAUUCUGUGAUAUGUGUCCGUGUUCGAUGUGGCAUGAACUCGUCCCUGCGGUCAUGGAUGGUUAGAUUAGCCGUGUGCUGCUGCGGUUAUACGGGAGAUGCAGAAUUCUUGCAUAAAUAGAUGCUGGAAGCAGCAACCUCAUGUCCCUGUGUCUGUGUUUUCAGGUCCGGAGCUGCUGCUGGCUUCUGCCGUGACCUUCUGCGCCUCGUGCAUGUUGGUAGGCUUGGCUGGCACCCCCGGCCUCGACUACCUAGUGCCUCGGCGACACUGCCCUCCGGGAAGUGUGAGACAACAACACUGUAACGUUGCCCACCGGUGUUGAUGUCGGCCACAGGCCGCUGUUGGCACCCUGCUCAGCCUGGCCCUGUGUCCAAAGAGGCAAAUAGCAAGUUGAUUAUUUGGCCGUGGCCUUCUGCUCCUCACGCAUGGUCGUAGGCUCGGCUGUCACCCCCGGCCUCGACUAUGUAGUGCCUAGGCGACACCACCCUCCGGGAAGUGUGAAACAGAAAAACUACGGUGUUGCCCACCUGUGUUGACAUCGGUCACAAGCCGCAGUCGGCACCCUGCUCAGCUCGUCCCUGUGUCCAGAGGCUAAGAAUGGAACAGGCCCCGUCACGCGCCCGAGGCCUGUUCCCGCCCAGCAACGUGAAGGAGGCAGCUGCCCGACAGUGUCCACAUCCAGUGGCGUGUCAACCGACAAGAGCAUGAAAAAAUUAGGCCCACAGAAGGAGUAGAUGGGUCGGACAAAUCGAUGGAGAAUAUUUUGGAGCAGUGUAACGCAUCCCAAUCCAGCAGCUUGUCCUACAAGGCCGUAGCCGCCGUCAUCAUCCAGGUCAUCUUGCUGUUCCGAUUGCUUAUGUACCAUGAGAAGAGAGAACAUCGAAAUCUGCUAUUUGCUUCUUCUUUUUUUCAAAUGAUAUUGCCCACUUAUGAUCUGUUACUUAUUAGGGCUGUAUUGACUAUUUGCUGAUUCUCCAGUUUUGCUGUACUUGACCAUGUGUUGUUCUUGUUCAAGGGAAAGGCAGAUGACUAAUUGACGGGCAAAUCAGUAGCUGCACUAGUUGGAAGUUGGAGGACCCAGUGACAAGUGAGUUAGACAAUAUGGCUUGUGUUUAGCACAAGCAUGUGUGUGGGAGGCUGAUAAGAUGUGCUCUUUGUGAAGUUGAUUGAUAAUGAACAUGGUAGUGGUUUCCUCUUUGUUAUCUGCAUGUGAUGUGGCUUGGCGGUCGCCCGGUCCAGGGUCAACAUGCUUUGUUGUGUUGCUGCUUUCCUCGUCUGCUUGGGUCUGUCAUGACUGUGGGCUAUGUAGUAAAUCUGUUUGAGCUGUUGUUGAGAUGAGAAAUUGCAAAUUUUUCUUA